Molecule: ribosomal RNA, 253 nt
Filed under: uncultured bacterium
Lineage: Bacteria
Description: partial 16S ribosomal RNA
Rfam family: Bacterial small subunit ribosomal RNA
Source: RNAcentral
UACGGAGGGUGCAAGCGUUAUCCGGAUUCACUGGGUUUAAAGGGUGCGUAGGCGGGCAGGUAAGUCAGUGGUGAAAUCUCCAAGCUUAACUUGGAAACUGCCGUUGAUACUAUCUGUCUUGAAUAUUGUGGAGGUGAGCGGAAUAUGUCAUGUAGCGGUGAAAUGCUUAGAUAUGACAUAGAACACCCAUUGCGAAGGCAGCUCACUACGGGAUCAUUGACACUGAGGCACGAAAGCGUGGGGAUCAAACAGG